RNAcentral lists this ribosomal RNA (438 nucleotides) under uncultured bacterium. Its description in RNAcentral is "bacterial SSU rRNA". It matches the Rfam family "Bacterial small subunit ribosomal RNA", at positions 958 to 1397 of the family's 1533-position model. The record is from RNAcentral.
AACGCGAAGAACCUUACCCAGGUUUGAAAUGCAGAGCGCGAUAUCAGAGAUGAUAUUUCCCGCAAGGGGUUCUGUGUAGGUGCUGCAUGGCUGUCGUCAGCUCGUGCCGUGAGGUGUUGGGUUAAGUCCCGCAACGAGCGCAACCCUUAUCAUUAGUUGCCAACACGAGAGGUGGGGACUCUAAUGAGACUGCCUAGGUUAACUAGGAGGAAGGUGAGGAUGACGUCAAGUCCGCAUGGCCUUUAUGUCUGGGGCUACACACGUGCUACAAUGGACGGUACAGAAGGCAGCGAAGUCGCAAGAUGGAGCAAAUCCCUAAAGCCGUUCCCAGUUCGAAUUGUAGUCUGCAACUCGACUACAUGAAGCCGGAAUUGCUAGUAAUGACGUGUCAGCAACAACGUCGUGAAUACGUUCCCGGGCCUUGUACACACCGGCUAC